RNAcentral lists this ribosomal RNA (1202 nucleotides) under metagenome. Its description in RNAcentral is "bacterial LSU rRNA". It matches the Rfam family "Bacterial large subunit ribosomal RNA", at positions 1715 to 2925 of the family's 2925-position model. The record is from RNAcentral.
CAAAAAAAUUACCUCGUAACUUCGGAAGAAGAGGUACCCCUUCACGGGGGUUGCAAUAGAUUGACCCUGGCGACUGUUUACCAAAAACACAGGUCUCCGCUAAUUCGUAAGAAAAAGUAUGGGGGCUGACGCCUGCCCAGUGCCGGAAGGUUAAAGAAGUUGGUUAGUCCUUGGACAAAGCUAGCGACUGAAGCCCCGGUGAACGGCGGCCGUAGCAAUAACGGUCCUAAGGUAGCGAAAUUCCUUGUCGGGUAAGUUCCGACCCGCACGAAAGGCGUAACGAUCAGGGUACUGUCUCGGAGAGAGGCUCGGCGAAAUAGACAUGUCUGUGAAGAUGCGGACUACCUGCACCUGGACAGAAAGACCCUAUGAAGCUUUACUGUAUCUUGGAAUUGGGUUUGGUCUUUGCAUGCGCAGGAUAGGUGGGAGGCUUUGAAGAUGAUCUUGCGGGGUCGUUGGAGCCACUGGUGAGAUACCACCCUUGCAAUGAUAAAAUCCUAACUUUGAACCGUUAUCCGGUCAAAGAACAGUUUCAGGUGGGCAGUUUGACUGGGGCGGUCGCCUCCUAAAAGGUAACGGAGGCGUGCAAAGGUUCCCUCAGGCUGGUUGGACAUCAGUCGUAGAGUGUAAAGGCAUAAGGGAGCUUGACUGCGAGACCAACAAGUCGAGCAGAGACGAAAGUCGGCCUUAGUGAUCCGGCGCUUCCGAGUGGAAGGGGCGUCGCUCAACGGGUAAAAGUUACUCUAGGAUAACAGGCUGAUCUCCCCCAAGAGUUCACAUCGACGGGGAGGUUUGGCACCUCGAUGUCGGCUCAUCGCAUCCUGGGGCGGUAGUACGUCCCAAGGGUUGGGCUGUUCGCCCAUGAAAGCGGUACGCGAGCUGGGUUCAGAACGUCGUGAGACAGUUCGGUCCAUAUCCGGUGCAGGCGUUAGAGUAUUGCGAAGACUCCUCCUUAGUACGAGAGGACCGGGGGGAAUGCACCGCUGGUGUACCAGUUAUCGUGCCAACGGUAAACGCUGGGUAGCCAAGUGCAGUUUGGAUAACUGCUGAAAGCAUCUAAGUAGGAAGCCAGCUUCAAGAUGAGUACUCUCACCGCUUCAAGCGGGUAAGAUCACGGCAAGAACAGCCGUUUGAUAGGCAUCAAGUGUAAGUGCAGUAAUGUAUUCAGCUGAGAUGUACUAAUAGAUCGAGGGCUUACUAAA